This 453-nucleotide ribosomal RNA is filed under the name Hyalonthophagus alcyon. RNAcentral describes it as "partial 16S ribosomal RNA". Lineage: Eukaryota; Metazoa; Arthropoda; Insecta; Coleoptera; Scarabaeidae. The record is from RNAcentral.
CAUGUCUUUUUGAUUAUAAUAUAAAGUCUGACCUGCCCUAUGAUAAGGUUUUAUUAAAUGGCCGCGAUAAUUUGAUCGUGCAAAGGUAGCAUAAUAAUUAGUUUUUUAAUUGGGAACUGGUAUGAAAGGUCGAACGAGAAAAAGACUGUCUCAAUUUAAUUUUAAUUAGAAUUUUAUUUUUAAGUAAAAAAGCUUAAAUAAAUUUAAAAGACGAGAAGACCCUAUAGAGUUUUAUAUUUAAUUAUUUAUUUUUUAGUUUAAGAAUUUAAUUUUAAGAUUGGUAAUUAAAUAUUUGGUUGGGGUGAUUGAAAAAUUAAAUGAACUUUUUUUUAUUUAUUUUACAUUGAUAAAUGAUUAAUUGAUCCAUAAUUAUAUGAUUAAAAGAUUAAAUUACCUUAGGGAUAACAGCGUAAUUUUUUUUGAGAGUUCUUAUCGAAAAAAAAGUUUGCGACC